GCAAUCUCGUUCCCCGAGCCUGCGAUCCUUGGGAAGGAAACGAAGGCUCUGGGAUAAUCCAUCUCAGACAUACAGAAAACUGUAUGUCGACCGAACUGCGCAUGCGUUGCCAAAAGCAAAACAAAUUGUUUUAAAUAUUUUAUUGUUUCGUCUAUAAAAUGAUGAUUUUUUCUGGGUUUUGGUGGAAAUGUUGAUGUUCUUCAUAGUGGGAUACAAAAGGUGUGUUAGUGACUGAAUAAGGAAAAUAUUGCGUGUGAAACAGGGUCAGUAUAGAGCCGGCAGGAGCCGCGAAGAGUGCUGUUGUCGAAGAAAAAUGUCACAAUUAAUUGUAAUCUUGUCCAUUCACCUCUGUGUCAGUUUAAAAAAGCUUUAAAUGUAGAGACAUUUGUGGUUCCUCCAGCAUAAUUUAGCCGUUUAACGCUACUAUGUUUCUAAUGGUUGAAAGAGCGCGUGGAAAGGGCAAUUUUCAAGAACAAAAACAAUUACAAUAGUGUGUGUUUAAUAAUUGCUACUGUAGUAUUAAAAUACCUGAAGAGAGUCUCAAUUCUAAUUAAGUCGGUUAUAAACCUUGAUAAUAUUAAAGUUUUCAGAAGAUUUGUAUAUCAGAGAAUAUUAAAAGGAAUUUAG
This 627-nucleotide long non-coding RNA is filed under the name Paramuricea clavata. The record is from RNAcentral. Lineage: Eukaryota; Metazoa; Cnidaria; Anthozoa; Malacalcyonacea; Plexauridae.